AACGAACGCUGGCGGCAGGCCUAAUACAUGCAAGUCGAACGCUCGUAGCAAUACGAGAGUGGCAGACGGGUGAGUAACACGUGGGAACCUUCCCUAUGGUUCGGAAUAGCUCAGGGAAACUUGAGGUAAUACCGGAUAAGCCCUUACGGGGAAAGAUUUAUCGCCAUUGGAUGGGCCCGCGUCGGAUUAGCUAGUUGGUGGGGUAACGGCCGUACCAAGGCGACGAUCCGUAGCUGGUCUGAGAGGAUGAUCAGCCACACUGGGACUGAGACACGGCCCAGACUCCUACGGGAGGCAGCAGUAGGGAAUAUUGGACAAUGGGCGCAAGCCUGAUCCAGCCAUGCCGCGUGAGUGACGAAGGCCUUCGGUUG
Molecule: ribosomal RNA, 371 nt
Filed under: uncultured bacterium
Lineage: Bacteria
Description: bacterial SSU rRNA
Rfam family: Bacterial small subunit ribosomal RNA
Source: RNAcentral